GGAUCAGUGGCGAACGGGUGAGUAACACGUGAGUAACCUGCCCCCGACUCUGGGAUAACUGCUAGAAAUGGUAGCUAAUACCGGAUAUGACGACUGGCCGCAUGGUCUGGUCGUGGAAAGAACUUCGGUUGGGGAUGGACUCGCGGCCUAUCAGGUUGUUGGUGAGGUAAUGGCUCACCAAGCCUACGACGGGUAGCCGGCCUGAGAGGGUGACCGGCCACACUGGGACUGAGACACGGCCCAGACUCCUACGGGAGGCAGCAGUGGGGAAUAUUGCACAAUGGGCGCAAGCCUGAUGCAGCAACGCCGCGUGAGGGAUGACGGCCUUCGGGUUGUAAACCUCUUUUAGUAGGGAAGAAGCGAAAGUGACGGUACCUGCAGAAAAAGCACCGGCUAACUACGUGCCAGCAGCCGCGGUAAUACGUAGGGUGCAAGCGUUGUCCGGAAUUAUUGGGCGUAAAGAGCUCGUAGGCGGUUUGUCGCGUCUGCUGUGAAAUCCCGAGGCUCAACCUCGGGUCUGCAGUGGGUACGGGCAGACUAGAGUGCGGUAGGGGAGAUUGGAAUUCCUGGUGUAGCGGUGGAAUGCGCAGAUAUCAGGAGGAACACCGAUGGCGAAGGCAGAUCUCUGGGCCGUAACUGACGCUGAGGAGCGAAAGCAUGGGGAGCGAACAGGAUUAGAUACCCUGGUAGUCCAUGCCGUAAACGUUGGGAACUAGAUGUGGGGACCAUUCCACGGUCUCCGUGUCGCAGCUAACGCAUUAAGUUCCCCG
RNAcentral lists this ribosomal RNA (770 nucleotides) under Clavibacter sp. RNAcentral describes it as "bacterial SSU rRNA". It matches the Rfam family "Bacterial small subunit ribosomal RNA", at positions 89 to 871 of the family's 1533-position model. Lineage: Bacteria; Bacillati; Actinomycetota; Actinomycetes; Micrococcales; Microbacteriaceae. The record is from RNAcentral.